AUUUCUCGGCCUUUUGGCUAAGAUCAAGUGUGACAUCCGUUCUUAUCAUUUAAUAUUUAAUACCCGGGGCCAUUGAUCUGCAUGAUGUUAAAUUAAUUUUUCAAGGGAGAGUGGCUCAUAACGGCAGCUUACUUCUGCGGCCUCUCGCUCGUUGCCCAUUGUGAUGCACUACUGCACGGGCCUGACGAACCUCUC
This is a small nuclear RNA of Eucalyptus grandis, 195 nucleotides long. RefSeq annotates it as U2 spliceosomal RNA. Lineage: Eukaryota; Viridiplantae; Streptophyta; Magnoliopsida; Myrtales; Myrtaceae. The record is from RefSeq and is a predicted model, not a curated record. The transcript has a single exon.